This 468-nucleotide ribosomal RNA is filed under the name uncultured bacterium. Its description in RNAcentral is "partial 16S ribosomal RNA". It matches the Rfam family "Bacterial small subunit ribosomal RNA", at positions 28 to 507 of the family's 1533-position model. The record is from RNAcentral.
GACGAACGCUGGCGGCGUGCUUAACACAUGCAAGUCGAACGGCAAGGCCCUGCUUUUGUGGGGUGCUCGAGUGGCGAACGGGUGCGUAACACGUGAGUAACCUGCCCUUGACUUUGGUAUAACUUCAGGAAACUGGGGCUACUAUCGGAUAGGAUCUCCUGCUGCGUUGUGGGGGUUGGAACGUUUCGGCGGUUGGGGAUGGACUCGCGGCUUAUCAGCUUGUUGGUGGGGUAGUGGCUGACCAAGGCUUUGACGGGUAGCCGGCCUGAGAGGGUGAACGGCCACAAUGGGACUGAGAGACGGACCAGACUCCUACGGGAGGCAGCAGUGGGGAAUAUUGCACAAUGAGAGGAAGCCUGAUGCAGCAACGCCGCGUGCGGGAUGACGGCCUUCGGGUUGUAAACCGCUGUCGCCUGUGACGAAGCGUGAGUGACGGUAAUGGGUAAAGAAGCACCGGCUAACUACGUG